AUAAGUCGAGCGAGCAAGAAGGAAGCGCUCAAAAAGAAAGCUGUACCUCCGGUGUCCGCGUUGUAAUCUCGAGACGUGUUUUCCGCGUGGCGCUAUGGACAAGUUCCAUGGAACAGGACAUCGUAGAGGGUGAAAAUCCCGUACUUGCCAUGGAUGUACCAUGCUUUGUGAUACACGCUCUAAGAGUCGAGUUGUUUGGGAUUGCCGCUCAAAAUGGGUGGUAGACUCCAUCUAAAGCUAAAUAUCGGGGAGAGACCGAUAGCGAACAAGUACCGUGAGGGAAAGAUGAAAAGCACUUUGGAAAGAGAGUUAAAAGUACGUGAAAUUGUCGAAAUGGAAGCGCUUGAAGUCAGCCAUGCUGCUUGAGACUCACCCUGCUUUUGAUUGAUGUAUUCUCUAGCACAACACCACUGCGKUGUGAGUMGUCGGAGAAGGGAGGGAAAAUGUGGCCUCCUCGUAUGUGUUAUAGGCKUGUACGGGAUACGACGAUUUGGACACCGGAACACGCAGUGCCUCUGGCGGGUCUUCUUUACCUUCUUCUUAGG
Molecule: ribosomal RNA, 545 nt
Filed under: Malassezia pachydermatis
Lineage: Eukaryota; Fungi; Basidiomycota; Malasseziomycetes; Malasseziales; Malasseziaceae
Description: eukaryotic LSU rRNA
Rfam family: Eukaryotic large subunit ribosomal RNA
Source: RNAcentral